This is an RNA transcript of Mesitornis unicolor (brown roatelo), 613 nucleotides long. It is a transcript of the gene named ribosomal protein L21, with no coding region annotated. The record is from RefSeq and is a predicted model, not a curated record. The transcript has 6 exons. NCBI's taxonomy places the organism in Eukaryota, Metazoa, Chordata, Aves, Mesitornithiformes, Mesitornithidae.
CCAUUUUUACAGUAAUCGGCCAAAAUGACGAACACAAAAAAGAGGAGGGGAACACGUUAUAUGUUCUCAAGGCCAUUUCGCAAGCAUGGAGUUGUCCCUCUGGCUACCUAUAUGCGCAUCUACAAGAAGGGUGAUAUAGUUGAUAUCAAGGGUAUGGGCACUGUUCAAAAAGGUAUGCCCCACAAGUGUUACCAUGGCAAGACUGGAAGGGUAUAUAAUGUUACUCAACACGCUGUGGGUAUUAUCGUUAACAAGCAGGUUAAGGGCAAGAUCCUUGCCAAGAGAAUUAACGUGCGUAUUGAGCAUAUUAAACAUUCCAAGAGCAGAGAUAGCUUUCUGCAGCGUGUGAAGGAGAAUGAAAAGAAGAAAAAGGAAGCAAAAGAAAAAGGCAUUUGGGUUCAGCUGAAACGUCAGGAGGUUACUUGGGGUUUUUUAAGAGGAGAAUGGCAGCAUCAGUGUGUCUGCAUCUGAACUGUCUGAUAUGUUUAGUGCCUGAACAGAACUGCACUGUUCCUGGGUAGAAAGUGUAUCCCUGGCUCCUGCUCCACCAAGAGAAGCACACUUUGUGAGAACAAAUGGCAAGGAUCCAGAGCUGCUGGAGCCAAUUCCCUAU